GAUGAACGCUAGCGAUAGGCUUAACACAUGCAAGUCGAGGGGCAGCACAAGGUAGCUUGCUAUCUGGGUGGCGACCGGCGCACGGGUGCGUAACGCGUAUGCAACUUGCCCUAUACAGGAGGAUAACCCGUCGAAAGACGGACUAAUACUGCGUAUGCUCACAACUUGGCAUCAAGUGGUGAGGAAAGAAAUUCGGUAUAGGAUAGGCAUGCGUCCCAUUAGCUUGUUGGUGAGGUAACGGCUCACCAAGGCAACGAUGGGUAGGGGAACUGAGAGGUUUAUCCCCCACACAGGUACUGAGACACGGACCAGACUCCUACGGGAGGAAGCAGUGAGGAAGAGUGGUCAAGGGGCGCGAGCCUGAACCAGCCAAGUCGCGUGAAGGAUGACUGUCUUAUGGAUGGUAAACUUCUUUUAUACGGGAAUAACAAGAGUCACGGGUGACUCCCUGCAUGUACCGUAUGAAUAAGCAUCGGCUAACUCCGUG
RNAcentral lists this ribosomal RNA (487 nucleotides) under uncultured bacterium. RNAcentral describes it as "partial 16S ribosomal RNA". It matches the Rfam family "Bacterial small subunit ribosomal RNA", at positions 28 to 507 of the family's 1533-position model. The record is from RNAcentral.